UAUUGAUGCAAAUAGUUUAUGUGCAGGCAGUGAAUGGAAACACUAAACAGUGAUGCUUUUGACUACUGGGGUGGAGGGACGCAAGUCACUGUCACAGAUACAUCAAAAGCUCCCACUUCUCUGUUCCCCCUGAUGAACUGUGGAACACUGACUAACGACAAGUACAGCGUCGGUUGUCUUGCCACUGGGUUUACACCUUCCUAUCUCACAUUCAAAUGGACGGAUGCUAAAGGGACUGCCCUGACUGAUUUUGUCCAGUAUCCAGCAGUCCAGACAGGGGGAGCCUACACAGCUGUCAGUCAGCUCCAGGUGGCUAAGAAUGACUGGGAAAAUGCUAAGUCUUUUACUUGUGUCGUGGAACAUCCAGCAGGGAGCAAGACAGAAGUCAUUAAUAAACCAGUCAUCACGAGUCCCACAGUGUUUUUGCUGUCGCAGUCCAGUGGCUCCACCCAGUACCUGAUGUGUUUGAUUGAAGAUUUCCAACCCAAGACAAUCACUGUUACCUGGAAAAAGAAUGGCCAAAAGGUGGAGGGUCCAACCAGUAUUGUAGGUCAACAAAAGUCAUCAGGUCUUUUUGGAGCCAGCAGUGUACUGAAGGUCAGCAACACUGAGUGGGCAAGCAAUGCUAAGUACAAAUGUGAAGUCGGGCACAAGAGCAAACUCAUCAGCCAAGAGAUCUUCAAAUCAGAACCGUUGACACUGACACUGAACCCACCAAAAGUGAAAGAAAUAUUUGUGAACAAUCAAGUAGUGAUGGAAUGUAUCAUCAAUGGCACAGACACAAAAGAACUGAAUGAAGCCAUAAUCACCUGGAAGGUCAACAAACAGUCCAGGACAGAUGGAAUCAUUGAGGUGGUUAAAAAUGACCAACAAAUACCCAGGAAGGUCAGCAAUCUGAACAUGAACCGGAGGGACUGGGGCACAGUGAAUACUGUCCAGUGUUCUGCAGAGACAAAUGGCAUCACAAGAGGAAAUCAGGAACUUGUCAUCAACCAUGGAUGCAAAGAUCUUUCAGCGACUGUUCACAUUCUUCCAGAGAAGGACAUUGAGAGUCUACGCAGUGACAACAGCGAUGUGACCCUGGUCUGCCUGGUGGUCAGUCCAUCUCUUUGUGAUUUCUAUAUCAUGUGGAAGGAGAAAGUAGACACCACCUCUACACAAUAUGAAGGCAUUACUAGCCCACCUCAGAUAAACCCUGAAGGCAAAUACACCAGCACCAGCGUGUUCACCACCACCAGAGGGAAAUGGAACAACAAUGUGAUAUUCUCCUGCUCUGUCAUACAUUCUGGAUUGGAUGCUAUCACUGCGCCUACAGAGAUCCCUGUGUCGAAUGCCUUGGAGAAGAACCAGGACAGUUUCCCAGUUACAGACUGCUCCAAGAAGGACGAUGAAGAGGAUGAGUUCAGAAGCCUGUGGUCCACCUCCGCCACUUUCAUUAUCCUCUUCUUCCUUUCUAUAACCUACAGUGCAGUGAUCAGCCUGGUUAAGAUGGAGCAAUGAGUCAGACAAGAUGACUUCUGAGAUCAUGUCUUGAUCAGAAAUGUAAUGGACUGGGAUGGUUAUGACAUGGUGAUGUCGGUAGAAAUGUUUAGAAAACUGGUUCUUCUGAUCCUGGAUAAGAUUUCGAUUUUUCAUUCUUCCCCAUUGAGGAUUUCAGUUUGUUUUUCAAUUGAAUUGUUCAUAUUAUAGGUCACAUUAAGAGUGGGAAAGUUCUGACAUGAUU
Molecule: non-coding RNA, 1723 nt
Organism: Esox lucius (northern pike)
Lineage: Eukaryota; Metazoa; Chordata; Actinopteri; Esociformes; Esocidae
Source: the annotation of a RefSeq genome assembly